RNAcentral lists this long non-coding RNA (885 nucleotides) under Ceratitis capitata (Mediterranean fruit fly). Its description in RNAcentral is "uncharacterized LOC110118355, transcript variant X3". The stretch from base 691 to 758 matches the Rfam family "tRNA". Lineage: Eukaryota; Metazoa; Arthropoda; Insecta; Diptera; Tephritidae. The record is from RNAcentral.
UUCGUUAAGGUAGUUUCGCUUCGAAAUUUUUGACACUAAACGUAUUUGCUCCAAAUUGUCUGAGGUCUGAUGAUCUAUCCAGAUGGGGAACAGUCACAGCACCUGUAAAUUUUGCAUAUGAUGUAAGCAUACUUCUUUCCUCGGCGAAGUAUUUGUUAAGUCCAGCUUUCAGAAGGACCAGAUGGGCCAAUGGCAGAGUGCAAAGACCUCCAUAUGCAUAACAGCCGGCAUACUAACGAAUUUUACCGUAGCUGAAAGACAUAAAUCAGGAGGAAGUGGUGUAAUAUUAGCUCAGCCAUAGCUCAGCAUUGAGUGCGGUCCGCUAAUGUUAUCACGGAAAUUUCUUCUUUGAUAUUCUUGCAUAUUUUGCAUCCUGGGUGAUAGGAUUCUUCUUCGCAGUACCAACAUAGGUAUUACCACGGGUCAGUAGACCUAAGGACGCAAAGCAUGCUUGAGAAUGCAUGAAAAAGCUCAUAUUUCCAGAAAAAUUUUCGAGCAAAGAGCCUGCUUUAUUGAAGGAAGUUAAAAGUAACAAAUCUAAUUUUCUACACUUCUAGCAUUCAAAUGCAAAAAACUGCAUAUAACAGUAAUUAUUUUACAAAUAUACCGUUGUGUAGUAUUAUUUGUUCCAAUUAUUGUCUAAAACUCGUUCACGCAUCGAGAGUAUUGAGUGACAUAGAACCGUUAUAUGCCUCCGUGGCGCAAUUGGCUAGCGCGUUCGGCUGUUAACCGAAAGAUUAAUGGAACUUUCGGGGGAAAGGAGCGAAGUUAUCUGACCUUUAUUGACCCAAGCGUUUUUACAGCUAACUCAAUAAUUUGUCCAACAACUGAGCUGAGCUGCUGAAAGCAAAAAAAUUUAAAUUUUUUAUUGUCAAAAUUUAUUUG